GAAACAGUGGCUAAGACUGGAUAGGAAGAUAAAAGGCAUCUUUUAUCUUUUAAAAGACCUAGUAAUAGGUAUGCUUUAGGAGGGGCUUGCGCCAUAUUAGUUAGUUGGUAGGGUAAUGGCCUACCAAGACGAUGAUGUGUAGCUGGACUGAGAGGUUGAACAGCCACAUUGGGACUGAGACACGGCCCAAACUCCUACGGGAGGCAGCAGUAGGGAAUUUUCGGCAAUGGAGGAAACUCUGACCGAGCAACGCCGCGUGAAUGACGAAGUACUUCGGUAUGUAAAGUUCUUUUAUCAAGGAAGAAAAGCAAAUGGCGAACCAUUUGUUUGCCGGUACUUGAUGAAUAAGCCCCGGCUAAUUAUGUGCCAGCAGCCGCGGUAAGACAUAAGGGGCAAGUGUUAUCCGGAAUUAUUGGGCGUAAAGGGUGCGUAGGCGGUCUAGUAAGUCAGUGGUGUAAUGGCAACGCUUAACGUUGUCCGGCUAUUGAAACUGCUAAACUUGAGUUAGAUAGAGGCGAGUGGAAUUCCAUGUGUAGCGGUAAAAUGCGUAAAUAUAUGGAGGAACACCAGAGGCGUAGGCGGCUCGCUGGGUCUUAACUGACGCUGAGGCACGAAAGCGUGGGGAGCAAACAGGAUUAGAUACCCUGGUAGUCCACGCCGUAAACGAUGAGUACUAAGUGUCGGGUUAAACCGGUACUGAAGUUAACACAUUAAGUACUCCGCCUGAGUAGUACGUACGCAAGUAUGAAACUUAAAGGAAUUGACGGGACUCCGCACAAGCGGUGGAUCAUGUUGUUUAAUUCGAAGAUACCCGAAAAACCUUACCAGGUCUUGACAUGUUUUUGCAAAAUGAUAGUAAUAUCGUGGAGGUUACCAGAAACACAGGUGGUGCAUGGUUGUCGUCAGCUCGUGUCGUGAGAUGUUAGGUUAAGUCCUAAAACGAGCGAAACCCUUAUCGUUAGUUGCCAGCACGUUAUGGUGGGGACUUUAACGAGACUGCCAAUGAUAAAUUGGAGGAAGGUGAGGAUCACGUCAAAUCAGCAUGCCCCUUAUGACCUGGGCUACAAACGUGAUACAAUGGCUGUUACAAAGGGUAGCUGAAACGCAAGUUCUUGGCCAAUCCCCAAAAACAGUCCCAGUCCGGAUUGAAGUCUGCAACUCGACUUCAUGAAGUUGGAAUCGCUAGUAAUCCGCGAAUCAGCAUGUCGCGGUGAAUACGUUCUCGGGGUUUGUACACACCGCCCGUCA
RNAcentral lists this ribosomal RNA (1248 nucleotides) under Sesame phyllody phytoplasma. Its description in RNAcentral is "bacterial SSU rRNA". It matches the Rfam family "Bacterial small subunit ribosomal RNA", at positions 153 to 1399 of the family's 1533-position model. Lineage: Bacteria; Bacillati; Mycoplasmatota; Mollicutes; Acholeplasmatales; Acholeplasmataceae. RNAcentral also lists the same sequence under 1 other name. The record is from RNAcentral.